This 253-nucleotide ribosomal RNA is filed under the name uncultured bacterium. RNAcentral describes it as "partial 16S ribosomal RNA". It matches the Rfam family "Bacterial small subunit ribosomal RNA", at positions 524 to 776 of the family's 1533-position model. The record is from RNAcentral.
UACAGAGGGUGCAAGCGUUAAUCGGAAUUACUGGGCGUAAAGCGUGCGUAGACGGUCAUGUAAGUCGGGUGUGAAAGCCCCGGGCUCAACCUGGGAAUUGCAUUCGAGACUGCAUGGCUAGGGUGCGGAAGAGGGAAGCGGAAUUUCCGGUGUAGCGGUGAUAUGCGUAGAUAUCGGGAGGAACACCAGUGGCGAAGGCGGCUCUCUGGGCCUUACCUGACGCUGAGACGCGAAAGCGUGGGGAGCGAACCGG